UACGUAUGGUGCGAGCGUUGUCCGGAAUUAUUGGGCGUAAAGAGCUUGUAGGCGGUUUGUCGCGUCUGCUGUGAAAAUCCGGGGCUCAACCCCGGACUUGCAGUGGGUACGGGCAGACUAGAGUGUGGUAGGGGAGAACGGAAUUCCCGGUGUAGCGGUGAAAUGCGUAGAGAUCGGGAGGAACACCAGAGGCGAAGGCGGCGACCUGGACAAGUACUGACACUCAACUACGAAAGCGUGGGGAGCAAACAGG
This 253-nucleotide ribosomal RNA is filed under the name uncultured bacterium. Its description in RNAcentral is "partial 16S ribosomal RNA". It matches the Rfam family "Bacterial small subunit ribosomal RNA", at positions 524 to 776 of the family's 1533-position model. The record is from RNAcentral.